This 819-nucleotide long non-coding RNA is filed under the name Prunus persica (peach). RNAcentral's name for it is "long non-coding RNA (PPER_LNC004890)". The record is from RNAcentral. Lineage: Eukaryota; Viridiplantae; Streptophyta; Magnoliopsida; Rosales; Rosaceae.
CCCACUUCGAAUUAUAUUUCACUAAUCCAAAUUGUCUAUUUUGUAGAUAUUCAUUCAAAGAUCAUCUCUUCGUCCAAAAAAAAAUUUUCAAAGAUCAUCUCUACAAAAAAUCACUUGAAUCCGAUACCGUUUGACCACUCAAUUUAGUUAUUGAAAUUUUAGUACUUUCUUUAAGCACCGUGUUUAUUGAUUUUGUAGGACAUAAUUGGAUGUUGAAGCUGUUGCCUGGGCUCGGGCCCUGUCCUGCCAGGGCUGGGGGCUAUGGUUGGACUUGCUUUAAUGUAACACAAAUAUUGUUUUAGCUACUUUCAGUAACUCUAAAUCUGACACAAUUUUAAAAAUUGCCAAAGCAUGUGUGUGGUUUAUAAAAAAAUUUGACAAUUCACUUUCCAAAUUUAUAUAUAUUUGUAAGCCACUCAAAUGUUUGUGCAAGAUCUUUAAAAUGAGAUUUAAGGUAUGAACAACACAUGGAGACCAAAAAAUAUGGUCGUGUACCUUUCCAAUCUCUCUAUCAGGUGCGACACAGUUACUUGCAGUGUCAGUUACUACUUGGAAAAUAUUAUGGGGCCCCACUUCUGCAAUUGCUUCAAGUAAGAGGCUUAGGAUCUCUUUACUAGUCUUUUCAAUCCCCAACAUAUCAUGUGUCACGCCCCGAAUUUUCAACAACAAAUAACCUUUGAGUUAUUACAAACAAACUGAUCUGGGACAUGAAACUUGGAACCUUCAACAAAUAUAUUAGAAAUUUUUUUUUCUUUUUCCUUAAUACAAUACAACCUGUUAUGAACCCAUAUCUGAUGUUUAACUCACACAUUGGCUGAC